GGCGAACGCUGGCGGCGUGCUUAACACAUGCAAGUCGAACGGGUCUGCCCUGUUUUUUGCGGGGUGGGUCAGUGGCGAACGGGUGAGUAACACGUGAGUAACCUGCCCCUCACUUCUGGAUAACCGCUUGAAAGGGUGGCUAAUACGGGGUGUUCUGGCUGUGCCGCAUGGUGUGGCUGGGAAAGAUUCACUUUUGUGGUGUUUUGGUGGGGGAUGGGCUCGCGGCCUAUCAGCUUGUUGGUGGGGUGAUGGCCUGCCAAGGCUUUGACGGGUAGCCGGCCUGAGAGGGUGGGCGGUCACACUGGGACUGAGAUACGGCCCAGACUCCUGCGGGAGGCAGCAGUGGGGGGUAUUGCACAAUGGGCGGAAGCCUGAUGCAGCGACGUCGCGUGAGGGAUGGAGGCCUGCGGGUUGUGAACCUCUUUCGCCGGUGAAGAAGGUCCUGCUCUUUGUGGUGGGGUUGACGGUAGCCGGGUUAUGAAGCGCCGGCUAACUACGCG
This 500-nucleotide ribosomal RNA is filed under the name uncultured bacterium. RNAcentral describes it as "partial 16S ribosomal RNA". It matches the Rfam family "Bacterial small subunit ribosomal RNA", at positions 28 to 507 of the family's 1533-position model. The record is from RNAcentral.